Molecule: ribosomal RNA, 259 nt
Filed under: uncultured bacterium
Lineage: Bacteria
Description: partial 16S ribosomal RNA
Rfam family: Bacterial small subunit ribosomal RNA
Source: RNAcentral
CCACACCGUAAACGUUGGGCGCUAGGUGUGGGACUCAUUCCACGAGUUCCGUGCCGCAGCUAACGCAUUAAGCGCCCCGCCUGGGGAGUACGGCCGCAAGGCUAAAACUCAAAGGAAUUGACGGGGGCCCGCACAAGCGGCGGAGCAUGCGGAUUAAUUCGAUGCAACGCGAAGAACCUUACCUGGGUUUGACAUAUACGAGAAGCCUCUAGAGAUAGAGGUCUCUUUGGACACUCGUAUACAGGUGGUGCAUGGCUGU